Molecule: ribosomal RNA, 298 nt
Filed under: uncultured soil bacterium
Lineage: Bacteria
Description: partial 16S ribosomal RNA
Rfam family: Bacterial small subunit ribosomal RNA
Source: RNAcentral
AGAACGAACGCUGGCGGCAUGCCUAAUACAUGCAAGUCGAACGAACUCUUCGGAGUUAGUGGCGCACGGGUGCGUAACGCGUGGGAAUCUGCCCCUUGGUUCGGAAUAACAGUUGGAAACGACUGCUAAUACCGGAUGAUGACGAAAGUCCAAAGAUUUAUCGCCAAAGGGAUGAGCCCGCGUAGGAUUAGCUAGUUGGUGAGGUAAAGGCUCACCAAGGCAACGAUCCUUAGCUGGUCUGAGAGGAUGAUCAGCCACACUGGGACUGAGACACGGCCCAGACCUCCUACGGGAGCAG